Molecule: long non-coding RNA, 1065 nt
Organism: Oreochromis aureus
Lineage: Eukaryota; Metazoa; Chordata; Actinopteri; Cichliformes; Cichlidae
Exons: 3
Source: RefSeq, a predicted model, not a curated record
GCUGCUGCUAUGUGCGCUGAAUCUAUUUAUAGCUAAGGUAGAUGUGGAGUAUAAAAAGGGCUGACAUGGAAAUCGUGGUUCAUUUUUACCUUUGUCCCUUGGCUUCCUUUUUGAGUGAUCCUCAGCUCUACACAGAGAAUUUCCUUCAUCUUCAUUGAUCCCUGCGUCAGAGAGCCGACUCCCACCAAACACUGCACUGCACAACCAAUCAGUCUGCUAACUGAAGAAAGAGAAAUAUGAAGCUCUCCAUUUUCUUGAUGGUGGUGUUCUCUGUCACUGUGCUCUGUGUGGAUUAUGAACAUGUUAAGAAGUUCAAAAACCAGCGUAUCAUCGAACCAGACACAAAAAUGUCGUCCGUUUCUUCUAGCAGAUCAGCACAAGAAUGGAAUCACAACAGUGUUGAAAAGUUCAAAAAACAGCAUAUCAUCAAACCAGGCACAAAAGAGUCAUGUGAUGAACUAAUACGCGAGAGGAAGAUCACAGGUGCUAAUGGUAAAGAUAAAAAAAAAAGAAACACCUUCAUCAUUAGUACUUUUGACAAGGUUAAAGAUAUUUGUAAAAGAAGACAACAUGUUUCUGAAAAUCUUUAUAGAAGCUCUGAAAAGAUGGAUAUUUUGUACUGCAAACUGCAAAAUAAUGAAACAUACAAAGGCGUAAAGAUAAAGAAGCAUAUUGUAAUUGCAUGUGAGAACAUCGAAAAUGUUCUUCAACCUGUCCACUUCGAGCGCUGGUUCAAUUUGAGAGCUGCUCUGUACUCACUGUGAUCUUUCUAUCAUUGUUUCAUGAUGUUGCUUUGGGUUUCUUAAGAUUUGAAAUUCUUAAGACUUUGUAAAGUUUGCAUAAAUAAUAAUGGGAAUAUUAUUAUUAAGGAAAUAUGGAAGAAUUGUUUGUCAGUGAAUGUGGAAAAAUACCACAAUCACAAGAGUUAUUGAAACAACUUUUGACUUUCUUGUCUCACUUGCAUAAGUAAUCAUUACAUUCUGACCUUUUUUCUAACUGGCUGUUCAUCCUGUUCUCUCAGGUCACAGUCAUCGCUUGUCUUUCAGCAUUCAAUAAAUAACCUAC